RNAcentral lists this ribosomal RNA (278 nucleotides) under uncultured Deinococcus sp. Its description in RNAcentral is "partial 16S ribosomal RNA". It matches the Rfam family "Bacterial small subunit ribosomal RNA", at positions 1 to 296 of the family's 1533-position model. The record is from RNAcentral. Lineage: Bacteria; Thermotogati; Deinococcota; Deinococci; Deinococcales; Deinococcaceae.
UAGUGAGUUUGAUCCUGGCUCAGGGUGAACGCUGGCGGCGUGCCUAAGACAUGCAAGUCGAACGGGCUCUUCGGAGCCAGUGGCGCACGGGUGAGUAACGCGUAACUGACCUACCCCAAAGUCGCGGAUAACGAUUCGAAAGAAUCGCUAAUACGUGAUGUGCUGUCAGAUCCUGUUCUGCCAGUAAAGAUUUAUUGCUUUGGGAUGGGGUUGCGUUCCAUCAGCUGGUUGGUGGGGUAAACGGCCCACCGAAGGCGACGACGGAUAGCCGGCCUGAG